GUGGUUUGAGAGAAGUGUUCAUUACAGGCAAUGGCUCCUGGCUUCUGAUAUCUGGACACUGAAGGGGCUGCUGCAUCCUGCGAAGGAAGAUACUGUCAUUGAGUGGCCAGGAGCCCACUGCCACUGCAAUGGGUGUGCCAAGUCCCAUCUAAGCAUUAUCGCUUAGAAAAACACUUCUGAGUAGAGCAAGAGGCGAACGCACAGGCAUGGGGGGAACUGUUGCCCCAAAAAAACAGCCCAGGGAGCCAGCGUCACCAGCUCGGCAGGAGGCACCGGGCACCACAGCUCCAGUGGCACCACUGCGCAGAUGAUGUGGCACAACACACUCAGAAUACUAAAAGAAGGUAACAUUCUAAUCCCUUUUCUGGCAGCAGACCUGUCAUCACUCUUCCAGAGCACCAUAAACCAUCAGGUUCACGCACUAAGACGUAUCUCCCCC
This is a long non-coding RNA of Corapipo altera (White-ruffed manakin), 439 nucleotides long. RefSeq lists it as uncharacterized. The transcript is spliced from 3 exons. Lineage: Eukaryota; Metazoa; Chordata; Aves; Passeriformes; Pipridae. The record is from RefSeq and is a predicted model, not a curated record.